UAUAAGACUGGGAUAACUUCGGGAAACCGGAGCUAAUACCGGAUAACAUUUGGAACCGCAUGGUUCUAAAGUGAAAGAUGGUUUUGCUAUCACUUAUAGAUGGACCCGCGCCGUAUUAGCUAGUUGGUAAGGUAACGGCUUACCAAGGCAACGAUACGUAGCCGACCUGAGAGGGUGAUCGGCCACACUGGAACUGAGACACGGUCCAGACUCCUACGGGAGGCAGCAGUAGGGAAUCUUCCGCAAUGGGCGAAAGCCUGACGGAGCAACGCCGCGUGAGUGAUGAAGGGUUUCGGCUCGUAAAACUCUGUUAUUAGGGAAGAACAAAUGUGUAAGUAACUGUGCACAUCUUGACGGUACCUAAUCAGAAAGCCACGGCUAACUACGUGCCAGCAGCCGCGGUAAUACGUAGGUGGCAAGCGUUAUCCGGAAUUAUUGGGCGUAAAGCGCGCGUAGGCGGUUUCUUAAGUCUGAUGUGAAAGCCCACGGCUCAACCGUGGAGGGUCAUUGGAAACUGGGAAACUUGAGUGCAGAAGAGGAAAGUGGAAUUCCAUGUGUAGCGGUGAAAUGCGCAGAGAUAUGGAGGAACACCAGUGGCGAAGGCGACUUUCUGGUCUGUAACUGACGCUGAUGUGCGAAAGCGUGGGGAUCAAACAGGAUUAGAUACCCUGGUAGUCCACGCCGUAAACGAUGAGUGCUAAGUGUUAGGGGGUUUCCGCCCCUUAGUGCUGCAGCUAACGCAUUAAGCACUCCGCCUGGGGAGUACGACCGCAAGGUUGAAACUCAAG
This 788-nucleotide ribosomal RNA is filed under the name uncultured Staphylococcus sp. RNAcentral's name for it is "bacterial SSU rRNA". It matches the Rfam family "Bacterial small subunit ribosomal RNA", at positions 131 to 905 of the family's 1533-position model. Lineage: Bacteria; Bacillati; Bacillota; Bacilli; Caryophanales; Staphylococcaceae. The record is from RNAcentral.